RNAcentral lists this ribosomal RNA (433 nucleotides) under uncultured bacterium. Its description in RNAcentral is "partial 16S ribosomal RNA". It matches the Rfam family "Bacterial small subunit ribosomal RNA", at positions 29 to 507 of the family's 1533-position model. The record is from RNAcentral.
AACGAACGCUGGCGGCAUGCCUAACACAUGCAAGUCGAACGAGACCUUCGGGUCUAGUGGCGCACGGGUGCGUAACGCGUGGGAACCUGCCCUUAGGUUCGGAAUAACUCCCCGAAAGGUGUGCUAAUACCGGAUAAUGUCUUCGGACCAAAGAUUUAUCGCCUUUGGAUGGGCCCGCGUUGGAUUAGCUAGUUGGUAGGGUAAAAGCCUACCAAGGCGACGAUCCAUAGCUGGUCUGAGAGGAUGAUCAGCCACACUGGGACUGAGACACGGCCCAGACUCCUAGGGGAGGCAGCAGUGGGGAAUAUUGGACAAUGGGCGAAAGCCUGAUCCAGCAAUGCCGCGUGAGUGAUGAAGGCCUUAGGGUUGUAAAGCUCUUUUACCCGGGAUGAUAAUGACAGUACCGGGAGAAUAAGCUCCGGCUAACUCCGUG